Non-coding RNA from Caretta caretta (loggerhead turtle), 3783 nucleotides. The record is from RefSeq and is a predicted model, not a curated record. Lineage: Eukaryota; Metazoa; Chordata; Testudines; Cheloniidae.
AUCCCCGCCAGAGCCCUGCCGCCGCUACCCCAGGGCUCGGGCAGCAGGGCUCAGGCGGGAAUUUAAAAGGCUCGGGGCUCCGGCAGCUGCUACCACAGCGAAGCCCCAGGCCCUUUAAAGCUCUGCCGGAGCCCAGAGCCCUGGGGUAGCGGUGGCAGCCGGGAGCCCCCACAGCUCCUCAGUGAUUUAAAGGGCUCGGGGCUCCGCUGCAGUAGCGGCAGCUGGAGCCCUGGGCCCUUUAAAUCACCCCCGGGCCCCGGGGCUCCCACCCGCCUCUGCAGCUGGUAGCUCAGGGGUGAUUUAAACGGCCCCGGGCUCCCAGCCGCCACUCGCGCAGCUGGAGCCCUGGCCCUUUAAAUCUUGAUUUAAAGGGCCUGGGAAUUUAAGGCCCUGCCUCUUCCGGUUGAGGCCACACCCCUGGCUCAGCACUCCAGCGUACUGGUGAGGAGGGAGAGGAAUCUGCUGAUGAACAACUGACCCCAGAGCUGCUUGGUCUUAAACAAUCUUCAACAAGAACAAUAAGGAACAUGCCCGUUUCCCCAAGUGCCCGACAGACAAUCACACUCUCAGUGAGUUUUAAUGCCAGGAGACUUUCACCCAGCGAUUCUUGCAUUGAGCACAGACCCUCCAUUUGGGCUACAGCAUUUCCUUCCAAACUUCCUCGGGUCGGGACUGAAGGAUGUCAUGUGACCGAGAACCCCCAGAACCCGCGGUGGGUUGUUAAUGGUUAAUUCCCCUCCCUGCUUGAAAAUUAGCUCUAAUUCGUUCCAGUCUGAAUUUCAGCUUCCAGCCAUUCAACCUUGUUCUGCUUUUUGCUGCUAGAAUAAAGAGCUGCCGCCGAUCAAAAAUCUCUUCCCCAGGUAGGCCCUUAGAGCCCAUGGUCCAGUUACUUCUCAGCCUUCUCCUGGGUGAGAUAAAUCAACUGAACGUCUUUUAGUCUCUUGCUCUGAAGCAAGUUCCCAGACCCUGAGUCCUUCUUGUAGCAAUAAACCCGUUUCUGAACCGGUUCCAAUUUGUCAGCAUCCUGUCUGAACAAUCUCCUCCUUGCUGCCGUAGAUACUUGUGUGAGAUCGCUGCCCUGCUUUGGAGCUCAGAGAUGCUUUUCAGAGUAUGGAAGGCCCAGCGAGUCUCUGGAUUUACGCCUGCUCCAGAGACCUUCUCCUCUAGUUGAGAUACACACAGUUGUGCACUGAGGUAAUCUCAGGCCAGACUCUGCCGUCCCUACUCAUGGUAAGUAGCACCUCACUCUGCGAGUACCCUGGGGGAGUAAAGCACUACUCAGUGUGAGUAACAGUGGCAGAUUCUGUCCCUUUCCUAGCACCUCUGUCCCAUAUUUCAACCAGCAACAUGGGUUCCCGUAAUAACAGUCACAGGAUUUGGCUCUUUAAGCUGCAACUUCGGGUGGCCUACAUGUGCCAGCAGACUUGGACGCGUCCUCUGUGACACACCUAGUCAGCAGCAUGCUGCUGUCUCCCUUUUCAUAUCCGUGACGUUUGUCUGACAGCAACCUGGGAAUGGGGAUAAAGUGAGUGCAGAAUCAGGCCCCCUGGCGUUGCCAUACCGCGUCCGGCCACUGGAGGGAGCGCUAAUGACAAGAAAUGAGCUGGUCCCUUGUGCCCUGGCCUCCCAGCGGACACAUGCGCCCAGGUGGCCUCUGACCCUGCUGGCUGCAGAGCCUUGUCCCCUGCAAGAGCCACCCAGGCUCCCCCAGCCAGACACAGUGAGAGCGUGGGGCGGGGCAGGGGGAAGAGUGGAAGCUUUCCCUGAUGGUCUCAUUUGGGACAGGGGUGGGAGGGGAGGCUGGUUCUCCAGCCUCGAGCCGUGAGGUGCUCAGAUCCUGCAGUGCCGGGAGCUGCAGAGUGACCCAGGCUGGGCAGCUCAAGGGGGGCCUAGUCUGCGCCCCUGCCGGGGGACGAAGGAAAAUGAAAUGCUCUCUGUAAAGCUGGGCUGUGCUCCUAGAGCCGCUGGUUUAUUUAGCCUUUGGAGCCAAAGUGAGAGGCUGUUAAUGGGGAGCAGACCUAGAGCAUCUCCCUGUGAUCCUUGUGGCUCCUCGUGCUGCCCAUCCAUCGUCUCCACCAGCUGUCCCUUGCCUUACGCUUGGGGAAGGGGCCGUCCUUGUGCUCUGUGCUGGUCCAGCACCUAGCACCAUGGGGCCUGAGCCGUGACAGGGCACCAGCACCAUACAGACAGCAGGGAACGACGACGGUCUGGAACAGACAGGAAAGGCGACAGCCAACCCGGCGAGAGGCGCAGUGGUGGUCGGUGUGGCGGGCUGGGAGCUGCCACGGCACCAUAACGUUUACAAGGGACACGGGCAGGAAGCAGCUACCCCUGUCUCCCAGUCUAACCACCUCCACGCUGGGGCUGCACCAUUUACAGUUCUCCAAACCAACACAGCUGUGCCUAGGCCAGCCUGAACUCAGGUCACUGCCUCCACCAUGCCCCUGCAGGAGUCAUGUGCCCAGCCACAGGACCUUUUGGAGGAGCAUCUGGCGGGUACAGGGCACACGCUUGUCCCUGGACCCCCACAGCCCAUAGGCUGAGCCUGUGAAUUCCCCGCCCGCCCUGCCAUGCUCUCCCCAAGCCAGCACAGCCCCAGAAGCAGCCACACCCUGUGCUGUCAGCUUGCCCUUACCCUGUGUAAAUUUGCUGACCAUUUGGUUGAAUUUCUGGCCAUUUGAGUUCACCAUGGGUCGUGCCAGCUCGGUCUGGAAGAAUAUGGCCUGUGGGGUGUCCUACCCACCCCACAGCGUUCCCCACUUCCGAGAGGUGAGAGAGUUGCCUUUUCUGCCUGGGGAAGGGUGCUGUCUGCGAGGGCUCCCCAAAGGGCCUGUCGGACGGCUCUCCAGACCCUGCUCCUGCAAGAGGCUCUGCUAGUGCAUGACUCUGGGGGACUUUCUCCUAGAAAGCUCAGCUCCCCUCCCCCUGUGCUGAAGCCUGACACGAUAUCCCCACCUGAGAGGAGCCAGUCCCUUGCAAAGGCAGGUUCCCCAGGGACGGAUCUAAGUUCUGUGGCGGGAGCUGAGGAGAACACUGUGAUGUUGCACUUGAAAUGAUUUUAUGAAAGUAUGCUGAUGAGUGUUAAUAUAAUGUAACUAAAUAUGCUUCAUGCAAAAGGUGUCUUGUAAGGUAUCAUUACAAACCUUAUAAUCUGCUGAGUGUGGUCACCCUGUUUGUAUGAAUGUAUCACUCUUGUAUCUGAAACUAGAAAUAUAAAAUAUAACUCUGAGGGCCUAUUGUAAUUAUGCAAAGUGUGGGCCAUUCAUGGUGGUUUGGAAUCUUGAUGACUCCCAUUAACCAGGACAAUGGCUCUGUUUACUUGUAAGCCUUCCUGUAUACGUGUGUGCUGGCAAGUGGGUAAUGUCACCUGACCUGGAAUCCAUCUUUAACCUGGUGCUUUUCCACUGAGAGGGAGGGGUGGGAACCCAGAGGGACAAAGGAUUUGCACCUUAUGCAAAAGAUAUAUAAGUGUGUGGAACAGAACAAGGGGAGGCAGCCAUCAUGAGAAAUCCCCCAGCUACCACCUGAGCUGGAACAAGGGCUGCACCAGGGGAAAGAAUUGUGCCCAGACUAGAAAGGAGUCUGGUCUGUGAAAGGAACUUAUUGAAACAUCUCUGAGGGUGAGAUUGUAUCUGUAUUCACUUUUUAUUACUGUACUAGACUUAGACUUGCGUGUUUUGUUUUAUUUUGCUUGGUAAUUCACUUGUUCUGUCUGUUACUACUUGGAACCACUUAAAUCCUACUUUCUGUAUUUAAUAAAAUAAGUUUUUACUUAUUAAUUAA